GACAAAAAUUAAUUUCAGAUAAAUCAAAAUCCUAAUCAUAAAGCUAAGUCAUAAAUACAGGAGAAUUUACUGAUGAUGUGGGGACUGGUAGUCUCUAUACAAGCUGUAAAAAGUGGGACGAGAAGGAAAAAUUCUGUACUUAAUGUUCUGUAUUUAAUUUAAAUUUUUUAAAUGUUCAUUAAAAGAUACCACUAAGAAAAUGAGUAAGUCAAGCCAAUCGUGGUUAUCACAGGCCUAUAAUUCUAGCUGUUCAUGAAGCUGAAGCACAAAGAUUGCAAAUUUAAUAGCAGCCUGGGAAACAUAGUGAGACCCUAUCUAAAACUUGGGAAAUAUAUUUAAAGGAGCUAUAGGUCAGUGGUAGAGCACUUGUGGAGCCCUGAGAAAGGGAGAUGAGAAAAAAAUUAAUAGACCAAGUCCCAGGUUUUGCAGUAUAUAAUUAACAGAGGAAUUAUGGUAAGAAUCUAAAAAGAACUAUUUAAGGAAUUUUUAAAAACUUUUUAUGUAUAGAUGUUUGGUAUAUCUAUGAACCACCUGCAUAUGUUAUCUACAUAGGCCAGAAGAGGGCAGCAGAUCUCCCUGGCACUACUAGAGUUAUAGAAGAUUGUGAGCCACCAUGUGGGUGUUGAGAACCAAACAGGGGUCCUCUGCAAGAGCAGUAAGUGCUCUCAAUAGCUGAGCCACUGCCCCAUCCCCUAUAAAGAAGUGAUUCAUAAUUCAAUAAACAUGUGUGUGUAUAUGUAUGUAUACAUAUAUGUGUGUGUAUAUAUUUAUACAUACACACACACACACACACAUAUAUGUGUGUAUGGACAAGAUGCUAAAAACCAUUUAUUUUGCUUUCAAAACCCUCUGGAAUGACUACAAAAAUAAAAAAUAAAAUAAUUAAUGUGGGUAAAUAUGGAUAGAAAUAGUAGCUCUUCCACAUUAAUGUGCAGGUUAUAAAAUGGUACAGCCACUUUGGAAAACAAUUUUGUCAGUUUCUUAAAAAGGUAAAUAUAGGGGGUCUCUGGGGGGUGGGACCAGGAAAGAGGGUAACAUUUGAAAUGUAAAUAAAGAAAAUAUCC
RNAcentral lists this long non-coding RNA (1064 nucleotides) under Mus spretus (western wild mouse). RNAcentral's name for it is "RIKEN cDNA 9530097N15 gene (ENSMSPG00010047741.1)". The record is from RNAcentral. Lineage: Eukaryota; Metazoa; Chordata; Mammalia; Rodentia; Muridae.